RNAcentral lists this ribosomal RNA (492 nucleotides) under uncultured bacterium. Its description in RNAcentral is "partial 16S ribosomal RNA". It matches the Rfam family "Bacterial small subunit ribosomal RNA", at positions 29 to 507 of the family's 1533-position model. The record is from RNAcentral.
AGUGAACGCUGGCGGUAGGCCUAACACAUGCAAGUCGAACGGCAGCACAGUAAGAGCUUGCUCUUACGGGUGGCGAGUGGCGGACGGGUGAGGAAUACAUCGGAAUCUACUUUUUCGUGGGGGAUAACGUAGGGAAACUUACGCUAAUACCGCAUACGACCUACGGGUGAAAGCAGGGGAUCUUCGGACCUUGCGCGAUUGAAUGAGCCGAUGUCGGAUUAGCUAGUUGGCGGGGUAAAGGCCCACCAAGGCGACGAUCCAUAGCUGGUCUGAGAGGAUGAUCAGCCACACUGGAACUGAGACACAGUCCAGACUCCUACGGGAAGCAGCAGUGGCGAAUAUUGAACAAUGGGCGGAAGCCUGAUCCAGCCAUACCGCGUGGGUGAAGAAGGCCUUCGGGUUAUAAAGCCCUUUUGUUGGGAAAGAAAAGCAGCGGGUUAAUACCCCGCUGUUCUGACGGUACCCAAAGAAUAAGCACCGGCUAACUUCGUG